UGUCCUCCAUAGGAGGUCUAUAUUGAGCAGAUUCUUUUUGGUAUUGGGUGGUGGAACCGGAGCGUGCUCCAUCCACUCCAUGCAUUGACCUGGUAUAGCAGUGCUUCCAGGACCGGUGC
RNAcentral lists this small nuclear RNA (119 nucleotides) under Crocodylus porosus (Australian saltwater crocodile). RNAcentral describes it as "U2 spliceosomal RNA (ENSCPRG00005011660.1)". It matches the Rfam family "U2 spliceosomal RNA", at positions 67 to 185 of the family's 192-position model. From Rfam's summary of the family: U2 is a small nuclear RNA (snRNA) component of the spliceosome (involved in pre-mRNA splicing). Complementary binding between U2 snRNA (in an area lying towards the 5' end but 3' to hairpin I) and the branchpoint sequence (BPS) of the intron results the bulging out of an unpaired adenosine, on the BPS, which initiates a nucleophilic attack at the intronic 5' splice site, thus starting the first of two transesterification reactions that mediate splicing. The record is from RNAcentral. Lineage: Eukaryota; Metazoa; Chordata; Crocodylia; Crocodylidae.